Molecule: transfer RNA, 67 nt
Filed under: Marmota monax (woodchuck)
Lineage: Eukaryota; Metazoa; Chordata; Mammalia; Rodentia; Sciuridae
Description: tRNA.Ala
Rfam family: tRNA
About the family: Transfer RNA (tRNA) molecules are approximately 80 nucleotides in length. Their secondary structure includes four short double-helical elements and three loops (D, anti-codon, and T loops). Further hydrogen bonds mediate the characteristic L-shaped molecular structure. tRNAs have two regions of fundamental functional importance: the anti-codon, which is responsible for specific mRNA codon recognition, and the 3' end, to which the tRNAs corresponding amino acid is attached (by aminoacyl-tRNA synthetases). tRNAs cope with the degeneracy of the genetic code in two manners: having more than one tRNA (with a specific anti-codon) for a particular amino acid; and 'wobble' base-pairing, i.e. permitting non-standard base-pairing at the 3rd anti-codon position.
Source: RNAcentral
GGUUGUGGCUCAGUGGUAGGGCACUUGCCUCGCAUGCAUGAGAUACUGGGUUCGAGCCUCAGCACCA